GGAUCGUUCAAUUGUUCAACAAUUCAAUUAUUCUCAAUGGUAAUUAGUGAGAAUAGGUGAGUAUGUCUUCAUAUAAAUAGGUGAGCAUACUGAGUAUGCCUCCAUAUAGCCACCACUACACCUGCACCACUGGGUGAGAUUGAAGUUGUCCGUGUUAACAGUGACACUACACAUAUAAGCAGGCACAGCACUUCUGCCAUUCCCUGCCUUGCAUGGUAUGACUUUGUAUAUACUAGAGAUCUCAAACUACAUUCUGGACCUUGAAGCCAGUUCCACUGCCUUUUUUCAUGUUUCCCUCUAAUGAGUGACUGAUUUAUACCUGGGAAACCAGGAGGGUACAAUGAAUUAUCAGGUAGAACAGAAGACCAACAAGCUCCGGACCUCGUAGGGUAAGAGUUGAAUACCCCUGUACUAGAGUAUAAUUACAUAUUUCACUCUGUUUUUCUAGAGAAGGACCCGGACAGUAUGUAAUGUAUUUGACUUGUGUGUAGAAUAUUAUUUCUCCAUAGAGAUGCUGGAUAUAGAAGUACCUUACGAACCCUCACAUCCUACACAUGUUCAGUAGAGAAGAACAUCAACAGACAUGGAGCUGUUGAAGCAGCUCGACCACAUCCUACAGGGGUUAUUGUGAAGGCUCUAGCCUGCUGCUUCUGAUGCUGCUCCCUCUGAGGAAGAGCAUCCUGAAAAACAUGACCAUGAUCUCCUUUUACUGGGACACUCACAUCUCAACCUCCACAUACCAGUCAAAGACACUUCUGCCCAAAUGCAAAAAGAGUCUGGUAAGCUAACGCCUCAAACUGUGGUCAGAGGGAGCUGGGGUGCAGACAGCAGACAACAGAUGGUUGGGGGUGGAAGUAGAGGUGUUUGGGGUGGAGAGGACGGUGGACUCAGUGGACGACAUCCCAGCCAUUUACCUGAUGGGUAAGUUGACAUCACUUCUACUUAUACAAUCAACCAAACAAAUUUCAAUGGCUUUUUUUCCCCACCAGCAGAUGUCACAAAGUGCUUUUACAGUAACCCGGCCUACACCAGGGGAACCCGGGACAUACAGGGCACCACUGUUCCUGCCUCUCUUUCUCCCUGUGUGAUGACAUAUCCUGUUUAGGCACCUGGCCAGCUGAGUGCAGCUGGCUCUCCCGUCAACAUGAGGAUCCUGCUGCUCCAGCCCCAAAAACACAUUGGCACACAGACACACACACGCACACUAUUAGGAAUGCUAGCCUAUUUAAAUGUUUGUGUGUUGUGUGUCAGAGUUAAGGGAUAGUAAGACAGUGUUUGAGAAGAGGUGUCUGGUGUGGGAGGAGGACAUGGAGAUGCACUCCAAGUUUCUGGACAGAAAGGAAGAGUUGAAGGCGGAGCAUGCCUUGUACCUGCAGCAGCACCUGGAGCUCCUUGCCAUGAUGGCCAACUUCUUGCAGUUCCUUUCACCACGAAAACUGAGCAAUGUCUUGUUUGCCCUUGGACUUCUCCCCCUUCUCCUCCCACUUACAUCCAGGUGGCACAUUCAACACCUCUCCUUGUCAACACACUGGCUGGGUCUCAAUAGUCUGUUAGCUUCCUCUCACAGGCGCUAUAGUGAGGACAAUACUCUUGUCAUUAUUAUGAACAUGAGGCCCUCCAUCAUCAAAUAUUAAUGCUUUAAUGGAAGUUUUGUAUUUUAAUUGUGAGAAAUGUUUUACCGUUAUUGUUUGACUGAGCUUCAC
Molecule: long non-coding RNA, 1703 nt
Organism: Oncorhynchus tshawytscha (Chinook salmon)
Lineage: Eukaryota; Metazoa; Chordata; Actinopteri; Salmoniformes; Salmonidae
Source: Ensembl